CUCGCAGCCCCUGUCCUCCCCGCAGCGCGCGCGGGGCUUCUGGGCCGGCGGGGCCGACCGGGUGCGGCGGCCUCUGGUGGCGGGUCCGGGGUCCCGCAGGGCGCAAGGCGGCUCAGGGGCCGGGCGGGUGCAGGGACGGCUUGAUGAAGUCAAAAACCCCGAGGUGUGCGGACUGCCGGUGCUCGGUCGGGUCCUGAGCCUGGACAGGGACCCGUGCGGCUGAGACCCGAGUGGAAGGGGACGUCGGGCAGAGGAAAGGCGGGUGCAGCGGUGCCGAGGCCCAUCGGAAGAAGCUAGGGGAGCCCGGGGCGGGGGGCGGCUCGCAGGCCAGGGCGGUGCUGGGGCAGCAUCCCGUGCGAGGCGUCACCCCCUGGCCGGCGGACUGUGCAGGCAGGGAGGCCGACUCUUCUGGCAAAGUAGUGGCCCCGAGCCCAGGCAGAGGACUGGGGAGAGUAAAUCCCGGCGCCGAGAGGGCCAGAGCUUUCGGAUUUUGUUCACCGACGUGUCCCCGCCCGUGUCUUGCGAGCGGUCGUUACUCGGUGCUCAGUGGAAGGAAGGGGCACCCCGCCCCAGACAUUGUUUGAACAGGAGCCGGUGGGGGUUAGCCCCUCCGGGCCCAGGUGGAACCCAGGCUGUCUACCCAGGAAUGUACCUCUGUGUGCAGGUAAGGCUCAGGCUUUUGCUUUGGCCACAGGCUCUGGGUGAGCUCAGGUGGCCCUCCCUUCACACUGACCAGUCUGCAUGGGACUGGGGCUCUCAGAGGACCCAGCCGGCAGCUGGCAUGGUGUGCCAGCUGUAGACGUGCCUGUAGACGCAGGGUGGCCUGUAGACACAGGGUGGCCUGUAGACACAGCAGCCAAGUUGCCCUGGCAGGCGGUGUGGCUGCCGGUGUCUCGCAACUCUGGCCUCUCAUCUCCGGGCUCCGGCCCUGCAGGCAUCAGGUCUGGGGUGUCGGGACAUUGCCAUCCCUAUGUGGUCAGGGAAUUGACGAAGUUCAGCCUGGGGUCACGUGGGUCCGGGCCAGGCAGGCUGGGCCUGCUGAGGUGUGUCGGCAUCCCCAGGCAGCUUGUGGCCACCUUUGGAGCAACCUUCCAGCCUUCCUUCCGGGUGCUGGCCUUGGCUCACUCCUUUGUCAGCCUUAGUCCUGUCAGCCGCUUUGUCGGACUGGGCUGAGGGUCCCUGAGACACGGCUGAUCUCGGCUCCCCCGGAGUCCUGCCCUGAAUACCUGGGAUUGGCAUUUGCCUGGGAGAACACUCCAGUUUGCCUGUGCCGUUGCAGUGAAAGGGCCCCGACACUCCUUGGGGGGCAGGGGUGGGUCACUUCCGCUGUGCUGUGGGGCUUCCUGAGUGAGGUGGGCUCUCAGCAGCUUGGGUGGGCAACAAGGGCCUGUCAGGUGCCCCCUGCCCCCCCCAAUGCCAGCCUGCACUCUGCAGUCCUGGUGGAGGCUGGGGUUGCAUCCUGGCUUCUAUCUGGGUUCCCCAGCUAAACACGAGAUCGCGCAUCCCAGCUCCCUGCCCCUGGUGCAGCCACGCCUGUGUGUGGGCACCGUGGACAGCCCACAUGACUUCCAGGAGCUGCGCCCUCCUGCUGUUCCUGCUUCCUGCCAAUUCCAGCUGGAGCCUUGGGGACACGUUGACCCUGAGAAAGGACCUUGAGGAGGGAGCCUCCACCUGGACGGUGCAGAUGGUGAUGAAAUCCCCAGACUGCCUUCUCUGGACUUUGUACUUGGCAGAGAAAUAAAUACGUGUUUUUUCCCAAA
Long non-coding RNA from Mustela erminea (ermine), 1760 nucleotides. RefSeq lists it as uncharacterized. NCBI's taxonomy places the organism in Eukaryota, Metazoa, Chordata, Mammalia, Carnivora, Mustelidae. The transcript has 2 exons. The record is from RefSeq and is a predicted model, not a curated record.